RNAcentral lists this long non-coding RNA (453 nucleotides) under Ananas comosus (pineapple). Its description in RNAcentral is "long non-coding RNA (ACOM_LNC030188)". Lineage: Eukaryota; Viridiplantae; Streptophyta; Magnoliopsida; Poales; Bromeliaceae. The record is from RNAcentral.
AUUUAGCCCUCUCAGAAAAAAAAAAAAAAAAAUCCACAAAUAACUCAAUAAAAUUUAUACUUGCAAGAUUGACUCUGUCCCGCCACGUAAACGCCACGUGAACGUGACAAUGUAGGUUAAGUUGAGCAUGGUACUGAAUCAUUCACCGUAUUUGGAUAUUGUGAAUGGUUCACCGUAUCCUUCCUAAACAUCAAACUCCAAAUAUUACUUAUACCGUGAUAGAAAAAUAACGGAAUACGGUGAAUCAUUCACUGUAUCCAAAUACAGUAAAUGAUUCAUCAUAUUCAACUUAACUUACACCCUAUCCACGCCCACGUGGUGCUCGCGUGGCGAGGAUAAGAUCAAUCUUGUAAAUAUAAAUUUUGUUGGAUAUUUUUUAACAAAAAAAAAUUUUUUGAAGGGGUUAAAUGCAAAAAAAAAUUAAAAAAAAAUAAAAAAAAAAAAACCUAAAUA